Molecule: ribosomal RNA, 515 nt
Filed under: uncultured bacterium
Lineage: Bacteria
Description: bacterial SSU rRNA
Rfam family: Bacterial small subunit ribosomal RNA
Source: RNAcentral
CUACGUGCCAGCAGCCGCGGUAAUACGGAGGGUGCGAGCGUUAAUCGGAAUAACUGGGCGUAAAGGGCACGCAGGCGGUUAUUUAAGUGAGGUGUGAAAGCCCCGGGCUUAACCUGGGAAUUGCAUUUCAGACUGGGUAACUAGAGUACUUUAGGGAGGGGUAGAAUUCCACGUGUAGCGGUGAAAUGCGUAGAGAUGUGGAGGAAUACCGAAGGCGAAGGCAGCCCCUUGGGAAUGUACUGACGCUCAUGUGCGAAAGCGUGGGGAGCAAACAGGAUUAGAUACCCUGGUAGUCCACGCUGUAAGCGCUGUCGAUUUGGGGAUUGGGCUUAAAGCUUGGUGCCCGUAGCUAACGUGAUAAAUCGACCGCCUGGGGAGUACGGCCGCAAGGUUAAAACUCAAAUGAAUUGACGGGGGCCCGCACAAGCGGUGGAGCAUGUGGUUUAAUUCGAUGCAACGCGAAGAACCUUACCUACUCUUGACAUCCAUGGAAUCCAGUAGAGAUACGGGAGUGC